Long non-coding RNA from Mya arenaria, 307 nucleotides. RefSeq lists it as uncharacterized. The record is from RefSeq and is a predicted model, not a curated record. Lineage: Eukaryota; Metazoa; Mollusca; Bivalvia; Myida; Myidae. The transcript has 3 exons.
UGUUGGUUCUCGUCGACUGAGUGCAGACGAAGUAGAAAUACUUAAACAGUCAAACAAUCACAUACAACAACUAUCUCAGAGCUACAGUCUAUUUACCGACAUCGAAACAGAAGAGGAAACGAAAGAAGGCGAUAAGGGAAACGACGACCUUGAAAUCGAUGAUAAUUUUGCAAAUGUUUGUCCACCGUUUUUUGACCCCGCCCUUGGAAUUGACAAUGCAUGGGCUGAGCAUUUCGUCAGUGGAAAAGGAAUUGUGGUGGGGAUAACAGAUGUCGGUCGAAAUACAAAUGGAAUUAGAAUAAUGAAU